UAUGUGAUGAGAAAUACCUACUCGGAAUUGGGGACCUGGAUUGGUUGGAACAGAACUUUUUACUGCUGGAAUUCUGUGUUGAAGGAUGCUGCUGCUAUUAAUUGGGGUAUUGUGUGUAAAGUGAUUGGCAAUCAGCAUGAUUGUGUGCUAUAAUCACAGGGCUGCAAGAGACCUGUAACUGCUGGGCUGCUGUUUUUCCUGAUAUGAAGCCUAUUCUUUAGAGGAUGUCCUCCAAGGAUUGUCUGAACAUGUCGAUAUCUGCCAUCCUGCACGGACGACUCUUCCAACUUGAAUUUGAUUUUUUUCAGACUCCAGGAGCCCCAAUGAAUUAAAAAAAAAAAGUUGUUUGAGCAUUCAAAAAUGGCAUAUUUUGAAGAAUCUUUGUGGCUAUUUUAACCUUUUGUUAGAAGGAAACCUACAUGUUGAAACUUGAAGGAGGGCCAAGGAUGUAUGUGACUUGUUUAGGAUUGUGGAGGUAAAGAGGACCCAGACAGGCACUCUAUACCAGCUCCCUGAUCACUGGUUGGCACUUUUUCUCUUCACUAUAUCGCCAGUGCUGUUUAAGACAGAAUGUCUGUCCUGGAUUGGAAAAAUAUCUCUGCUUCUUCCCACCCAAGUUGGGUUCUCUGCCCACUGCAAGACAUGCCAAUAGUCAGGAGGCGAGGUGGUAGGGGAGAAAGGCUUUCUUUUUUAUAGCUUGCUAGUAAGAGGGAAGAUGGCCAACUCAUGUCCGAAAGAGCUAUCUUACAGAACAAAGACUGUCGGCCAGUUAUAUAUGGGGCUGGUUUCCGGGUGGGGGCAGACAUGUGGUUUUAGUUUCUGAUAGUCCUUUUGUUUUACCGGAUAACCACAUCAGAGACAGGAACAAUGCCCUACACCCUGAUCUUUCAGUUGUCAUUGAUGGCUAUCAGCAUAGGCUCUCUUUCCCAGAAGGUCAUCACAUUCCUAGAGAACUCAAAAGAACAAAGUUAUCAUCUUAUCACAGUUGGGAGGGGCCACAAAAUCUACAGAGCAUGUCUGGGCUAGUUAAUCAGAGGUCAUUUAAAAAGUUACUAUAUGGUUUCUUUUCUACAGUAUGGUUUCCCUCAUGUCAACCUUGUGUUGAGCUGGUAUCACGCUGAGGUGUUAAUCAUUUGGAGGAGCUUUCUAGGCCCCAAACUUAA
RNAcentral lists this long non-coding RNA (1163 nucleotides) under Equus caballus (horse). RNAcentral's name for it is "lncRNA (ENSECAG00000056774.1)". Lineage: Eukaryota; Metazoa; Chordata; Mammalia; Perissodactyla; Equidae. The record is from RNAcentral.